CGUAGGUAACCUGCCUGGUAGCGGGGGAUAACUAUUGGAAACGAUAGCUAAUACCGCAUAACAGUCGACAUUGCAUGAUGUUGAUUUGAAAGGGGCAAUUGCUCCACUACCAGAUGGGCCUGCGUUGUAUUAGCUAGUUGGUGAGGUAACGGCUCACCAGGGCGACGAUACAUAGCCGACCUGAGAGGGUGAUCGGCCACACUGGGACUGAGACACGGCCCAG
This 223-nucleotide ribosomal RNA is filed under the name uncultured bacterium. RNAcentral's name for it is "partial 16S ribosomal RNA". It matches the Rfam family "Bacterial small subunit ribosomal RNA", at positions 116 to 334 of the family's 1533-position model. The record is from RNAcentral.